This 253-nucleotide ribosomal RNA is filed under the name uncultured bacterium. Its description in RNAcentral is "partial 16S ribosomal RNA". It matches the Rfam family "Bacterial small subunit ribosomal RNA", at positions 524 to 776 of the family's 1533-position model. The record is from RNAcentral.
UACAGAGGUCUCGAGCGUUGUUCGGAUUCAUUGGGCGUAAAGGGCUCGUAGGUGGCCAACUAAGUCAGACGUGAAAUCCCUCGGCUUAACCGGGGAACUGCGUCUGAUACUGGAUGGCUUGAGUUUGGGAGAGGGAUGCGGAAUUCCAGGUGUAGCGGUGAAAUGCGUAGAUAUCUGGAGGAACACCGGUGGCGAAGGCGGCAUCCUGGACCAACACUGACACUGAGGAGCGAAAGCCAGGGGAGCAAACGGG